This 497-nucleotide ribosomal RNA is filed under the name uncultured bacterium. RNAcentral's name for it is "partial 16S ribosomal RNA". It matches the Rfam family "Bacterial small subunit ribosomal RNA", at positions 28 to 507 of the family's 1533-position model. The record is from RNAcentral.
GAUGAACGCUGGCGGCGUGCCUAACACAUGCAAGUCGAGCGAACGGACGAGAAGCUUGCUUCUCUGAUGUUAGCGGCGGACGGGUGAGUAACACGUGGAUAACCUACCUAUAAGACUGGGAUAACUUCGGGAAACCGGAGCUAACACCGGAUGAGAUGUUGAACCGCAUGGUUCAAAAGUGAACGACGGUCUUGCUGUCACUUAUAGAUGGAUCCGCGCUGCAUUAGCUAGUUGGUGGGGUAACGGCCUACCAAGGCAACGAUGCGUAGCCGACCUGAGAGGAUGAUCAGCCACACUGGAACUGAGACACGGUCCAGACUCCUACGGGAGGCAGCAGUGGGGAAUCUUGGGCAAUGGGCGAAAGCCUGACGGAGCAACGCCGCGUGAGUGAUGAAGGUCUUCGGAUCGUAAAGCACUGUUGUUAGGGAAGAACAUAUGUGUACGAAUCUGUGCGCAUCUUGACGGUACCUGAUCAAAAAGCAACGGCUAACUACGUG